This 21-nucleotide non-coding RNA is filed under the name Caenorhabditis elegans. Lineage: Eukaryota; Metazoa; Nematoda; Chromadorea; Rhabditida; Rhabditidae. The record is from RNAcentral.
UAAUCAUCGUGUCAAUAAUGG